ACAGUAUAAUGUAACGUGGAGACAGUAUAAUGUAACGUGGAGACAGUAUAAUGUAAUGUGGAGACAGUAUAAUGUAACGUGGAGACAGUAUAAUGUAAUGUGGAGACAGUAUAAUGUAAUGUGGAGACAGUAUAAUGUAAUGUGGAGACAGUAUAAUGUAAUGUGGAGACAGUAUAAUGUAAUGUGGAGACAGUAUAAUGUAACGUGGAGACAGUAUAAUGUAAUGUGGAGACAGUAUAAUGUAAUGUGGAGACAGUAUAAUGUAAUGUGGAGACAGUAUAAUGUAAUGUGGAGACAGUAUAAUGUAAUGUGGAGACAGUAUAAUGUAAUGUGGAGACAGUAUAAUGUAACGUGGAGACAGUAUAAUGUAAUGUGGAGACAGUAUAAUGUAAUGUGGAGACAGUAUGAGGUGUGUCUUACCUUGCGUAAAUUAGGGUUUUAUUAUCUGUUUCAUUCCAGGAGUUGUCCAUUCAAUAUAGCCUUUUGACUGUAAGACGGUAAGCAUCUGGUCAUGUAUAUACAGAUAUCUGAUAGUAUUUGCUGUUGAUCACGUCAUUUUACUGUUUGGAAAGUGUGUCAGUCCUUAAAUGAGGGUCAGUGAGUCGGCAGCAAAAUCUGAUCUGAUCUCUUCUGAUCUGAUCUAUUUUCCACCGUGUCUUAAUUAUUAUUAUUAUUAUUAGGGUGGCAGGUAGCCUAGUGGUUAGAGCAGGUAGCCUAGUGGUUAGAGGCAGGUAGCCUAGUGGUUAGAGGCAGGUAGCCUAGUGGUUAGACCCGGUAGCCUAGUGGUUAGACCCGGUAGCCUAGUGGUUAGAGCAGGUAGCCUAGUGGUUAGAGCAGGUAGCCUAGUGGUUAGAGCAGGUAGCCUAGUGGUUAGAGGAGGUAGCCUAGUGGUUAGAGCAGGUAGCCUAGUGGUUAGAGGCAGGUAGCCUAGUGGUUAGAGCAGGUAGCCUAGUGGUUAGAGGAGGUAGCCUAGUGGUUAGAGCAGGUAGCCUAGUGGUUAGAGCAGGUAGCCUAGUGGUUAGAGCAGGUAGCCUAGUGGUUAGAGCAGGUAGCCUAGUGGUUAGAGGAGGUAGCCUAGUGGUUAGAGCAGGUAGCCUAGUGGUUAGAGCAGGUAGCCUAGUGGUUAGAGCAGGUAGCCUAGUGGUUAGACCCGGUAGCCUAGUGGUUAGAGCAGGUAGCCUAGUGGUUAGACCCGGUAGCCUAGUGGUUAGAGCAGGUAGCCUAGUGGUUAGACCCGGUAGCCUAGUGGUUAGAGGCAGGUAGCCUAGUGGUUAGAGGCAGGUAGCCUAGUGGUUAGAGCAGGUAGCCUAGUGGUUAGAGGAGGCAGGUAGCCUAGUGGUUAGAGGCAGGUAGCCUAGUGGUUAGAGGCAGGUAGCCUAGUGGUUAGAGGAGGCAGGUAGCCUAGUGGUUAGAGGAGGCAGGUAGCCUAGUGGUUAGAGGAGGCAGGUAGCCUAGUGGUUAGAGGAGGCAGGUAGCCUAGUGGUUAGAGGAGGCAGGUAACCUAGUGGUUAGAGGAGGCAGGUAACCUAGUGGUUAGUGUUGGACUUGUAACCAAAAGGUUGCCAGAUCAAAUCCCCGAGCUGACAAGGUACAAAUCUGUUGUUCUGCCCCUGUUCCUCGGCCGUCAUUGUAAAAAGGAAUUUAUUCUUAACUGACUUGCCGAGUUAAUACGAUCUAAAGUCAAUAAGAUGACAAAGGAGGGUCAUGAUGAUGAUGACCACAUCACCUGUUUAAGCCCUCUGCCUUUACUUGGAGCUGAAAAUAAAUGGGCCACGAAGAUGACCCUACUCUGAUGUGACUCAAACUGAACGUUCUAGAUUAGAACAGGAGUUAUGCUUUGUGAUCAUAUUACAUUACUUCUAUGGCCACGAAGAUGACCCUACUCUGAUGUGACUCAAACUGAACGUUCUAGAUUAGAACAGGAGUUAUGCUUUGUGAUCAUAUUACAUUACUUCUAUGGCCAGUUUCCCAGACACAGAUUAAUUUAGCCUGGAACUUAAUUUUUUUUGGUUAUUUUUAAGUAUUUCAAUUGAGAUUAGUUAGUCCAGAACUCACGUUACAUUACUAAAUCUAACUGAGGAACCAACCCGACUGUUUCUACUAUUGCUACAUUAAAAUACAUUAAAAAAAAUAUAUAUAUUCUUCAAAUCAAAUCCAAUUUUAUUUAUAAAGCCCUUCGUACAUUAGCUGAUAUCUCAAAGUGCUGUACAGAAACCCAACCUAAAACCCCCAAACAGCAAGCAAUCCUGGCACGGUGGAAAGACAAUUAACCAUGAACACACACACACACACACACACACACACACACACACACACACACACACACACACACACACACACACACACACACACACACACACUGAACACAGGAACGCAGGCUGAACACAGGAACACAGGCUGAACACAGGAACACAGGCUGAACACAGGAACACAGGCUGAACACAGGCUGAACACAGGAACACAGGCUGAACACAGGCUGAACACAGGCUGAACACAGGCUGAACACAGGAACACACACAGGCUGAACACAGGAACACACACAGGCUGAACACAGGAACACAGGCUGAACACAGG
Long non-coding RNA from Oncorhynchus keta (chum salmon), 2574 nucleotides. RefSeq lists it as uncharacterized. The transcript has 4 exons. NCBI's taxonomy places the organism in Eukaryota, Metazoa, Chordata, Actinopteri, Salmoniformes, Salmonidae. The record is from RefSeq and is a predicted model, not a curated record.